GGAUGAUGUAAUCCUUCAGGGGCUUCAGGGGAGCUUUCAGUACCGUUCCUCUCGUUAUUCUUUGGGUUAAAAGGUCCGGUUGGCAAAACCAGAAGGUGAUGGGCGGAUGCUGGGCUGAUGGAUUGGGCUCAGGGGGUGAUGGCCAAUGGGUUCCAUCGUGUUGGGGGCCAAUCACAAUGCAGGACCCAUUUCAGGGCCAGUUCCCUGUUUUCAUCCGUGACCCGGAUGUGGGGUCUGCGGUCAUAUUCAACAGAUCUGUGGGUGAGACUGAAGUGGGAGAAGUGAUUGACCCCAUCAGGGCCGUGCAGGGGGAUCUGAACGCGCUGCAGGGCUGAGCAAUCGGCAGCUGCAGGAGGCUCAACAGGAGCGGGUGAGGAGUGAGAGGAGGCAGCGGGGAAACCUCAUGGCCCUACAGCCACUCAUGUCCUUCAGCCACUCAUGGCCCUACAGCCACUCAUGUCCUACAGCUCCUCAUGGCCCUACAGCCACUCAUGUCCUACAGCUCCUCAUGGCCCUACAGCCCCUCAUGGCCCUACAGCUCCUCACGACCCUAUGGCUCCUCAUGGCCCUAUAGCUUCUAAUGGCCCUGCAGCUCCUCACGACCCUAUGGCUUCUCAUGGCCCUAUAGGUCCUCAUGUCCCACAACCCUUCAUAGCUCUAAAGCUCCUCGUGGCUCUAGAGCUCCUCGUAGCCCUACAGCUCCUCAUGACGCUAUGGCUCCUCAUGGCCCUAGGGCUCCUCAUGGCCCUAGAGCUCCUCAUGAUCCUACAGCUCCUCAUGGCCCUACAUCUUCCCAUGGCUCUACGGCCCCUCAUGGUCCUACAGCUUCUCAUGGCCCUAUAGCUUCUCAUGACCCUACAUUUCCUCGUGACCCUACAUCUCCUCUUGGCCCUAUGGCCCCUCGUGGUUCUACAGCUCCUCAUGACCCUACAUCUCCCCCACAUCCUGCAGCUCCUCAUGGCAUCCUGAGUUCUACGUCCACCCAGGCGGCAUUAUUUAGAAGCUGCUCCCCAUGGUUCGCACCAUAACCGCUUUCCUCUUCCGUGCACAAAACACCCAUUUUCCCCUCCAACUAUUUUCAGACCGUCUCAGCAUGACAAACACAGAGCAAAUGUCACAGCGCCACCUGAAGCGAGGCGUGCAUUCCAAACCAGAAAGCUCUCUGCAGAAAGCAGAGGGGACAGAGCAGACACCAAACGCCCCCGAGCUGCGCUGCGCUCUGGGUGCAAACCAUGAAAGAGGACCUUAAACCAACCUUGCUGGCAGUGCUGGUUGGGUUUUGGGUUCUUUUUGGGAGGGAGGAUUUUGGGUGUCCCUUCUGGGGAAGCAUUGUGACUUUGCGCUGCCGCACAAAUGGGUAUGGAGGGAUCUGGGGUGCAUUUUUGAGGCCUCGUGGCUCAGAAGUGCUUUGCUGCAUCUCGAAGGGCGACGCUUUUCGCUCCUGUAAUCUCUUGUGCUCGGUGCAAUUCCCACUUCUUUCUUCGUUUUGUUUUCCACGCAGCUCAGAGAAAGGUUUGGAGCAGAA
This 1525-nucleotide long non-coding RNA is filed under the name Gallus gallus (chicken). Its description in RNAcentral is "lncRNA (ENSGALG00010003677.1)". Lineage: Eukaryota; Metazoa; Chordata; Aves; Galliformes; Phasianidae. The record is from RNAcentral.